CGUGACGGAGCAUGCCGCGUGCAGGAUGAAGCCUUUCGGGGUGUAAACUGCUGUCAGGGGCUAGGAACUCAAUGACCAACCCCAAAGGAAGGGCCGGCUAACUUCGUGCCAGCAGCCGCGGUGAUACGAAGGGCCCGAGCGUUGCGCGGAAUCACUGGGCUUAAAGCGUACGUAGGCGGAAACACAGGCGUCCUGUGAAAGCCCUCGGCUCAACCGAGGAAUUGCUUGGCGAACCGUGUUUCUUGAGACAGGUAGGGGUUGUCGGAACGCUAGGUGGAGUGGUGAAAUGCGUUGAUAUCUAGCGGAACGCCAAAGGAGAAAUCAGGCAACUGGGCCUGUUCUGACGCUGAGGUACGAAAGCGUGGGGAGCGAACGGGAUUAGAUACCCCGGUAGUCCACGCCGUAAACGAUGUGCACUAGGUCGAGGGGGUUCUGACACCGCUCUUGGCCGAAGCGAAAGUGUUAAGUGCACCGCCUGGGGACUACGGUCGCAAGGCUAAAACUCAAAGGAAUUGACGGGGGCUCACACAAGCGGUGGAGCAUGUGGCUUAAUUCGAAGCAACGCGAAGAACCUUAUCCUGGAUUUGACAUGCACGGAUUAGCUGUUGGAAACUUCAGUGACACUCUUGAGUGGAACGUGCACAGGUGCUGCAUGGCUGUCGUCAGCUCGUGCUGUGAAGUGUCGGGUUAAGUCCCUUAACGAGCGAAACCCCUGCCGCUAGUUGCCAGCGAGUUAUGUCGGGGACUCUAGCGGGACUGCCGGCGUCAAGUCG
Molecule: ribosomal RNA, 773 nt
Filed under: uncultured bacterium
Lineage: Bacteria
Description: bacterial SSU rRNA
Rfam family: Bacterial small subunit ribosomal RNA
Source: RNAcentral